AUGGCGCGCGGUAAGGUGGCCGAGUGGAUAUGGAAGCGGGCGAUGCCGAGGAAGCCGGCGGCCGGGCGCCGGAGCAGGGCCAGCGGGGCGUCGGAGCCGAUACUAAGAGACGCGGAGGAGAGCUGGAGCGGCGCCACCGGGGCGCCGGCGCCGAUGCCUGCUAGAAAGAGCCCCGGGAGCGGGAAGGGUGCCAAUGGCGGCGCGGCGGCGCACUCGAGCUCGAAGGUCCGGGCGGUCGGCUUCUUGUCGGCGCUGCGGUGGCGGCCGCGCGUGAACGUGCUGGCGGUGGUGUACGAGAAGGUGGUGUACCACGUGAUGUGGCUGGUGGAGUCCGUGGUGGUGGUGGGGAGGCUCAUCUUCUUCCUCAUGCGCUUCGGCUUCAAGCAGCUCUGA
RNAcentral lists this ribosomal RNA (393 nucleotides) under Triticum aestivum (bread wheat). RNAcentral's name for it is "partial small subunit ribosomal RNA". The record is from RNAcentral. Lineage: Eukaryota; Viridiplantae; Streptophyta; Magnoliopsida; Poales; Poaceae.